RNAcentral lists this ribosomal RNA (839 nucleotides) under Bacillus thuringiensis serovar kurstaki. Its description in RNAcentral is "bacterial SSU rRNA". It matches the Rfam family "Bacterial small subunit ribosomal RNA", at positions 58 to 873 of the family's 1533-position model. Lineage: Bacteria; Bacillati; Bacillota; Bacilli; Caryophanales; Bacillaceae. The record is from RNAcentral.
CAAGUCGAGCGAAUGUGAUUAAGAGCUUGCUCUUAUGAAGUUAGCGGCGGACGGGUGAGUAACACGUGGGUAACCUGCCCAUAAGACUGGGAUAACUCCGGGAAACCGGGGCUAAUACCGGAUAACAUUUUGAACUGCAUGGUUCGAAAUUGAAAGGCGGCUUCGGCUGUCACUUAUGGAUGGACCCGCGUCGCAUUAGCUAGUUGGUGAGGUAACGGCUCACCAAGGCAACGAUGCGUAGCCGACCUGAGAGGGUGAUCGGCCACACUGGGACUGAGACACGGCCCAGACUCCUACGGGAGGCAGCAGUAGGGAAUCUUCCGCAAUGGACGAAAGUCUGACGGAGCAACGCCGCGUGAGUGAUGAAGGCUUUCGGGUCGUAAAACUCUGUUGUUAGGGAAGAACAAGUGCUAGUUGAAUAAGCUGGCACCUUGACGGUACCUAACCAGAAAGCCACGGCUAACUACGUGCCAGCAGCCGCGGUAAUACGUAGGUGGCAAGCGUUAUCCGGAAUUAUUGGGCGUAAAGCGCGCGCAGGUGGUUUCUUAAGUCUGAUGUGAAAGCCCACGGCUCAACCGUGGAGGGUCAUUGGAAACUGGGAGACUUGAGUGCAGAAGAGGAGAGUGGAAUUCCAUGUGUAGCGGUGAAAUGCGUAGAGAUAUGGAGGAACACCAGUGGCGAAGGCGACUUUCUGGUCUGUACUGACACUGAGGCGCGAAAGCGUGGGGAGCAGACAGGAUUAGAUACUCUGGUAGUCCACGCCGUAAACGAUGAGUGCUGAGUGUUAGAGGGUGUCCUCUCUCUAUUGCGGAAGUUACGCACUAAUCACUCCGCCCGCC